UUCCUACGGGAGGCUGCAGUGGGGAAUAUUGGGCAAUGGGCGAAAGCCUGACCCAGCGACGCCGCGUGGGUGAUGAAGGCCUUCGGGUUGUAAAGCCCUUUCGUGCGGAAAGAACAGCCCUGUAGUGAAUAACUGCAGGGUUUGACGGUACCGCAGGAAGAAGCACCGGCUAACUCCGUGCCAGCAGCCGCGGUAAUACGGAGGGUGCAAGCGUUGUUCGGAAUUAUUGGGCGUAAAGGGCGCGUAGGUGGUUGUGAUAGUCAGAUGUGAAAUCCUUUGGCUUAACUGAAGAACUGCAUCUGAAACUUCAUAACUCGAGUACAGGAGAGGGAAACGGAAUUCCCGGUGUAGAGGUGAAAUUCGUAGAUAUCGGGAGGAACACCAGUGGCGAAGGCGGUUUCCUGGCCUGAUACUGACACUGAGGCGCGAAAGCGUGGGGAGCAAACAGGAUUAGAUACCCCAGUAGUCC
This 469-nucleotide ribosomal RNA is filed under the name uncultured Syntrophorhabdaceae bacterium. Its description in RNAcentral is "bacterial SSU rRNA". It matches the Rfam family "Bacterial small subunit ribosomal RNA", at positions 336 to 796 of the family's 1533-position model. Lineage: Bacteria; Pseudomonadati; Thermodesulfobacteriota; Syntrophorhabdia; Syntrophorhabdales; Syntrophorhabdaceae. The record is from RNAcentral.